This 1365-nucleotide ribosomal RNA is filed under the name uncultured bacterium. RNAcentral describes it as "bacterial SSU rRNA". It matches the Rfam family "Bacterial small subunit ribosomal RNA", at positions 28 to 1381 of the family's 1533-position model. The record is from RNAcentral.
GAUGAACGCUAGCUACAGGCUUAACACAUGCAAGUCGAGGGGAAACGGCAUUUGGUGCUUGCACCAUUUGGACGUCGACCGGCGCACGGGUGAGUAACGCGUAUCCAACCUGCCCAUAAGUAGGGUAUAACCCGCAGAAAUGCGGACUAAUCCCCUAUGUUGUUCAAAGACGGCAUCUGAUUUGAACCAAAGGCUUGCCGCUUAUGGAUGGGGAUGCGUCCGAUUAGCUUGUUGGUGAGGUAACGGCUCACCAAGGCUUCGAUCGGUAGGGGUUCUGAGAGGAAGGCCCCCCACAUAGGAACUGAGACACGGUCCUAACUCCUACGGGAGGCAGCAGUGAGGAAUAUUGGUCAAUGGGCGAGAGCCUGAACCAGCCAAGUAGCGUGCAGGAAGACGGCCCUAUGGGUUGUAAACUGCUUUUAUGCGGGGAUAACCGGCCUCACGUGUGAGGCUCUGCAGGUACCGCAUGAAUAAGGACCGGCUAAUUCCGUGCCAGCAGCCGCGGUAAUACGGAAGGUCCGGGCGUUAUCCCGGAUUUAUUGGGUUUAAAGGGAGCGUAGGCCGUGGGUUAAGUGUGUUGUGAAAUCCGGUUGCUCAACAUCCGGUUUGCAGCGCAUACUGUCCCACUUGAGUGCGCACAACGCAGGCGGAAUUCGUCGUGUAGCGGUGAAAUGCUUAGAUAUGACGAGGAACCCCGAUUGCGAAGGCAGCUUGCGGGAGCGCAACUGACGCUUAAGCUCGAAGGUGCGGGUAUCAAACAGGAUUAGAUACCCUGGUAGUCCGCACGGUAAUCGAUGGAUGCCCGCUGUUUGCCCUAUUUUGGGCAUGCGGCCAAGCGAAAGCAUUAAGCAUCCCACCUGGGGAGUACGCCGGCAACGGUGAAACUCAAAGGAAUUGACGGGGGCCCGCACAAGCGGAGGAACAUGUGGUUUAAUUCGAUGAUACGCGAGGAACCUUACCCGGGCUUGAACUGCCAGUGAACGAUACAGAGAUGUUGAGGCCCUUCGGGGCGCUGGUGGAGGUGCUGCAUGGUUGUCGUCAGCUCGUGCCGUGAGGUGUCGGCUUAAGUGCCAUAACGAGCGCAACCCUUUUCCACAGUUGCCAUCAGGUCAUGCUGGGCACUCUGUGGAUACUGCCGCCGCAAGGUGUGAGGAAGGUGGGGAUGACGUCAAAUCAGCACGGCCCUUACGUCCGGGGCUACACACGUGUUACAAUGGGGGGCACAGCGUGCCGUACGUGCGCAAGCACGUUCCAAUCAUGAAAUCCCCCCUCAGUUCGGACUGGGGUCUGCAACCCGACCCCACGAAGCUGGAUUCGCUAGUAAUCGCGCAUCAGCCAUGGCGCGGUGAAUACGUUCCCGGGCCU